AUGUCCUGGAGUAUGUAUCAUGACUGGUUUUUGGUUUUUUCAUUUUUUUUCUUUCGCAUACCAACAUGGUCUACUUUAGUAACAAAUAACAUAAAUAACAUGGUCUCUUCUCAAAUUAAAAAGCAUUCAAGUCUUCUCACAAUCAUCAAAAUCAUCAGGGAGUUUAGUGAGAUCAAGCUCAGCCAUAUGCAUAUUUUUAGAAGAGGGAAGAAAAUUCUGUAUAAGCGACAAAAUGUAAAUAAAACAAUGAAAACAUCUAUUUUUUCACUCUCUUUACUACUAGCCAGCUUGGCAUAUCAUGUUUACUACUAG
RNAcentral lists this ribosomal RNA (312 nucleotides) under Triticum aestivum (bread wheat). RNAcentral's name for it is "partial small subunit ribosomal RNA". The record is from RNAcentral. Lineage: Eukaryota; Viridiplantae; Streptophyta; Magnoliopsida; Poales; Poaceae.